AAACUUUUUUUAUUGCAAAUUUUGAACAUUAUUCCCAUAAAUACAUUCCUAUAAAUACAUCGCUCAGAAUAACAGAGGGUUUUGCUCUAAACCAAGAGAGGGUUUUGCGUCUCUUGCAACAAACAAGCUCUAGUUUUCUUUUGCUGGAGAAAAUCCAUGGCCGAUGAUACAGAUUCUGACUCUGGAAUUGGGGUAAUACGAAGAAUUGCAGAGCAAAAAGAUUUAGUUCCACAAAUACAACAAGAACCCUCCACUUAUCUCUCCAUGCCAAAGCAAGAUUCAGGAGAAUCAUCUGAUACUGUUCUCAUUCCGAAUGAUGAGCAGGAAUCUGUGGACUUCAGUCUCAAGAAGAAGGUCAAGUGUUCAUUUCAUGAGUGUCAGCCCGAUAUCCGGGAUAACCAACAACUAGGUAUUGAUCAUGAUGUGGGUAGUCUAUCCGCA
Molecule: long non-coding RNA, 441 nt
Filed under: Carica papaya (papaya)
Lineage: Eukaryota; Viridiplantae; Streptophyta; Magnoliopsida; Brassicales; Caricaceae
Description: long non-coding RNA (CPAP_LNC001218)
Source: RNAcentral